This 227-nucleotide long non-coding RNA is filed under the name Fukomys damarensis (Damara mole-rat). RNAcentral describes it as "lncRNA (ENSFDAG00000031446.1)". Lineage: Eukaryota; Metazoa; Chordata; Mammalia; Rodentia; Bathyergidae. The record is from RNAcentral.
GGAUUCAGGCCCUCCUGUUUUAACUCCAGAGCACAGGGUUGUACUCACUAUGGUCGAGAUUAAAGAAAGAAGAUAGUCAAAUACUGUGGGAACCCAAAGCGGGAAGGCUUCUAUGUUGGAAGCUGGAUUUCACUACAUCCUUAGCAGCGACUCCAGUGCCCAGGAUGUGGAUAAAGUCAGACUCCAGGAUUUGCUGGUGCCAGCCCUGAGGAGCCACUAAGAAGAGG